Molecule: ribosomal RNA, 248 nt
Filed under: uncultured Pseudomonas sp.
Lineage: Bacteria; Pseudomonadati; Pseudomonadota; Gammaproteobacteria; Pseudomonadales; Pseudomonadaceae
Description: partial 16S ribosomal RNA
Rfam family: Bacterial small subunit ribosomal RNA
Source: RNAcentral
CGGGUGAGUAAUGCCUAGGAAUCUGCCUGGUAGUGGGGGACAACGUUUCGAAAGGAACGCUAAUACCGCAUACGUCCUACGGGAGAAAGCAGGGGACCUUCGGGCCUUGCGCUAUCAGAUGAGCCUAGGUCGGAUUAGCUAGUUGGUGAGGUAAUGGCUCACCAAGGCGACGAUCCGUAACUGGUCUGAGAGGAUGAUCAGUCACACUGGAACUGAGACACGGUCCAGACUCCUACGGGAGGCAGCAG